This is a long non-coding RNA of Portunus trituberculatus (swimming crab), 2314 nucleotides long. RefSeq lists it as uncharacterized. The transcript has 4 exons. The record is from RefSeq and is a predicted model, not a curated record. NCBI's taxonomy places the organism in Eukaryota, Metazoa, Arthropoda, Malacostraca, Decapoda, Portunidae.
UAGGCACUGUGCAGGUAAGACGUGUGUGCGUCAAGAAAAGUGUCUGCCCAGUGCCUCGUCACCAGGUGUUGUGUGUUGGUCUGGUGUCAUCCAUCACGUGGCUUUGUUUUCCUUGUAGGUCGGGAAGAAGACGACGCAGACCGCGGAGGCGUGAGGUCCUGCACAUACAGGUUGGGGCUAGGAUGUUUCAACUCGUUCAUUGGAGGCAUAGGUAUGAAUGGUUUGGUUUUUGUGUUAAAGGUAAUGUAACGAGCGUGAUAAAAGCAAAACUUGUAAUCGGAAUAUAAUGAGGAAAGGGAGAUUUGGAGAUAACUAUUACAUUAUUCCGUAGUGGUGGGUAAAAUAGUUGUUCCAUUAUCAUAGACUACUUUGUUAACGCGGAGUAAUGUUCUGUAUAAUAGUGUACUGGGGCUGUGUGUUCACGCUCGGUAUAACGCAGCUUAAGGAAUUGGCUCCCGCUCUGUUUGGCAAUCCGCUUGCCUUCUUCUUUGACUGGUUAUACUGUCCUGCACAGCCAGUCUGGUUUUACUGUCUACAGUCACAUUCCAGUGUAGACUGUAAUUCUACAUCACGCUAGCUAAAAGCUUCAUCUAGCCGCUCUGACUACAAGUCUCUCUGGCCGCCGACUACUUCUCAGGCCUCCCUCACGGCUACUCGCUACCAAGCCUCCAGUACAUUUUGUAUCCUAUAAUUAACAUAGGGAAGUAGUAAGACGGCGUCCUUCCUGCUUGCCCCCAGCCUACCGCCCUGCCAAGGAUUUUCGUGGAGCUGAGGACAUCCAUACAUCUCUGCUACUUUAUAAGUAUCACCUGUCGUGAGUAAAACUUUAUAAUCAGUGAUUAAUUUUCUAUGGAUAUUUUUAUGUACCAGUGAGUGGCGUUCCCGCGUAAAAAAGCGCACCAGGUUUGGUCCCCAGUGAUGCCAGUGUCUGAUUGGUCGCCUAUGACUUAAGAGCUUCCUGAUCGUCUCUAGACAGACGCCAUAUUUAUCAUUGUGGUUGAGGUACCAAAUAUUUAUUUCUGCAAGUACACACAUUUUUUCAGUGAGUACACAUUUGUUGUUGCCUUUGCUGUUACACUAUUGUGCAUGUUUUGAUGUGUUAGGAUUUUAUGCAGUGAUUUCUUUAUUUAUGUGUGCAUAAAUUUAUUUCACGUGAUUUUCCUCAGACAUGCAGUUUUCUUUGAUACAAAUUUUAAGGGUAACUCCUAUAUUCAUGUAUUCUUCCAGUAUGCACUUGCCAUAAUCAUUUACUUGCCAAGUUUUUAUAAUUAUUUCAUCGCAUUCUUAUUUACAAUUAUAUUAACGCAAUUAGUACAGCACUUUAAUCACUUUAUAGUUUAAAUUAUCAUUAUUAUUUAUUGUAAAAGUGUACUUAGUAUAAUUUCAUUUUAUUUUUUCCUGAUUCACUUAUGUUCUUAUGAAGUACUCUUGUACUAAUAUUAUUAAUUUUCAGAGUGCUUAGCAGACCUGUAUGUUGAGAAGUUCUUAUUUAACCUGUCUGACUCAAGUUAUCGUCUGUUUACGUACGAGUACACACGCAGCACACCUGUACGUGGUCUACACAAUUUCUUUGGAGCGUCAGUCAGUCUGGCAGUGGCGUUCCUACACCUGCGCACCACUAACUUGGUGGAGCCACAUCCGUUUCACCCGAGAAAAACUCGUCAGCCACAGUCGCGCUGGAGGUAGACCUGUAUCCGCCCAAGCGUCUGAGUAGCCCUGGCAUCCUGCUCCGCCUCAUCUGUGUCCAUGUGACAGCAGUCUAUCUCCAUUUAUCUCUCUUCAGAAGAGGACGCAGACCGCGGAGGCGUGAGGUCCUGCACAUACAGGUUGGGGCUAAGAUGUUUCAACUCCUUCAUUGGAGGCAUAGGUCCUGCCACUACUGACGGGAGAACCAAACCAGCGUGUCCAAACAACCCCCAACCUGCGGCAGGAAACUGGCUCUUGCACUGGAAGACGCCAACUGUCUCGCUGCACCUUCCACGGAGGAAUUGGACCCUGCCUGAAAACACAUGCGUGCCAUCCAGGUAGCGCGGACACGCUGCCUCGCUGAACCUUCCACGGAGGAAAUGGACCCUGCCUGACAACACAUGCGUGCCAUCCAGGUAGCACGGACACGCUGCCUCGCUGAACCUUAUACGGAGGAAUUGGACCCUGCCUGACAACACAUGCGUGACAUCCAGGGAGCGCGGACACGCUGCCUCGCUAAACCUUCCACAGGAAUUGGACCCUUGAUAACACAUGCGUGCCAUCCAGGGAGGGAGGACAGACUGCUUCGUUUCGUGUAAUCUAACUAACAAAUACAUGUUGCCAAUCA